This is a non-coding RNA of Oscillibacter sp. KLE 1745, 97 nucleotides long. The record is from Rfam. Lineage: Bacteria; Bacillati; Bacillota; Clostridia; Eubacteriales; Oscillospiraceae.
GAACGCCGUGUGCGGUGAAAGCCGCACGCACGGUGUGAAGCGGGGGAAAAGACGGAAAGCGGCGCUGACGCGCCGCUCAGGUCUUACCUAUCGCUAU